Molecule: long non-coding RNA, 1769 nt
Filed under: Gallus gallus (chicken)
Lineage: Eukaryota; Metazoa; Chordata; Aves; Galliformes; Phasianidae
Description: long non-coding RNA NONGGAT008408
Source: RNAcentral
GAAAAUCUAAACAGAGGGAGGAGAAAUUAGGAGUUUGAAAGGUGCAUGCAGUUUUGCCCACAUACUUCAUCUACCAGUUCCCCUUUCAGUCCCAACUUCUAAAAACAAGACUGAUCUUUUCUUUUGGACCAUGGUCAAGAAGUAUGAUGUCCAAUAAAACAUGAUUUACUUAGGAGCUGCACUGGGCUCCUGUCCCUGGGUGCUGCCCAUCUACUUUGUGUCUGUGUGCUCUUGCCUUCCAUGUGCAUAAACCUCAUGGCCAAUGGGGUUUUGAUUCCAGCAUGCUUAUCAGCACCAAUGCCAAUGGCAAUCUCCAAGCAGUGGACAAAGCUAAAGUAAUGCUGUCAAUGCAUAGUCUGUGAUCAGUAACCUUGCACAAUAGUGAUAUGUUCUGAAUGGCUGUUUGUUUUUAAUGGAAUAAAGCUACAGUAGGAAGAAAUUGUCAGGAACUUUAAUUUGCCACCACUUGAGUAUUUCAUUCCUCUAUGCAAUGACAAAAGUGCCUGGUGAUGGAUUCUGUUGUGGCUAUUUUUUGGUGCUGUACUGCCUCAUUUGUAUCUUCAGGUCUCCCAGUAAUGGAUAAGAAUUCACAGACUUUUAUCCUCAUCAUACUCUUAGGUAGGGAAACAGUAAUAUUCCUGUUUCACAGAUGCAAGACCAAGGCACUAAUGAGGAAAAGUCUAGAUCCAGUAGUUUCAAUAGCUUGCAAUUAAUAACUUAAGAUCAAAGAUGCUCUUCCCCAGACUACACUACUUUGCUAUUCUAUUUUGGAGGCAGCUAUGAAGUAUUCCCCAGAGCUCAGCUGCUGAAGUGCAAAGCCCCAAGAUAUCUUGGUGCUGUGUUGCUGGUCCUGUCAACACCGGUCUACACUCAGAUGAUGUUCCAGAAAAUAAUUUUUAACCCUCCCCCACAGCCUGUUGGCUAAGGGAUGUAACUUCUUGCCUGCUCUAUCAUCUUGUGCAUUGUGCUUCAGCUCAGUGGCCUGUUUUUGCAGCAAGGGGAUGUUAUCCUGUGCUACCGUGACCACCAGCAUUUGGGGAGAUGGAAGCUGCAUUUAAGGAUUCUGCCAGGCAAAAGAGAGAAGUGACCCUGGACCCUUCAGUUCAUAGAGAGCUGGUUGGCACUUACUUUGGUUGGCCCAAAGGAAAUACAAUCAAGUGUGUGUGAAAGAGCAAGCACUGGGUCACAGCUCCGAGAGCAGCAGUAAGAAGCACUCUUUCUCUGCAAAGCAAGGGGCUUAUGGGCAAAAUACAGCCAUUCUCAGACAGCUCAAUGAAACACACACAACCUGAACAAAAAGUAAGUAUUCCAUUCAACUUGUGAAUGCUUGUGAAAUUUAUUUUUUGCUAGCUUUUACAGUCCACAGCCUUCUCAUUCAAUCUUGAAUAAUAGCUUUGAAUUGAGCUGUAAAAGCUUCCGAAGUUUGAAGUCUUUUGACAAGUUAAUUUAGCUGUAUGGUAAAAAGUUUUUCCCGCAGAUAGAAUAAAGACAUCGUAUCAUGAAUGUAGUCGUCAUCCAAGGGAAAGAAAACACCAUUAGGAUAAGAAGUGAUGGGCUUUAUGGAGAUAGUUUGUGGUUUAGUGUAAUCUACUAUCAAUAUUUCAGUAGAGAAGUAUUCUACUUGUCAUUCAGCUGCAAGUCAAUAUCUUCACUUAAAACCAACACCCAGGGGCCAGACUGCAUAUCUAUUCUUAUUGAAAAAGCAACUUGUUGCUUUUUGUCAGUUUUCCUUUUCUUUUUUUUGUUCCUCACGGUUAUUUCUACUUUAA